This 147-nucleotide ribosomal RNA is filed under the name Paenibacillus sacheonensis. RNAcentral's name for it is "partial 16S ribosomal RNA". It matches the Rfam family "Bacterial small subunit ribosomal RNA", at positions 1 to 146 of the family's 1533-position model. Lineage: Bacteria; Bacillati; Bacillota; Bacilli; Caryophanales; Paenibacillaceae. The record is from RNAcentral.
CUUUUAUGGAGAGUUUGAUCCUGGCUCAGGACGAACGCUGGCGGCGUGCCUAAUACAUGCAAGUCGAGCGGAGUUAUUCCUUCGGGAAUAGCUUAGCGGCGGACGGGUGAGUAACACGUAGGCAACCUGCCUGGAAGACCGGGAUAA